This 492-nucleotide ribosomal RNA is filed under the name uncultured bacterium. Its description in RNAcentral is "partial 16S ribosomal RNA". It matches the Rfam family "Bacterial small subunit ribosomal RNA", at positions 28 to 507 of the family's 1533-position model. The record is from RNAcentral.
GGUGAACGCUGGCGGUAGGCCUAACACAUGCAAGUCGAACGGUAGCACAGUAAGAGCUUGCUCUUACGGGUGGCGAGUGGCGGACGGGUGAGGAAUACAUCGGAAUCUACUUUUUCGUGGGGGAUAACGUAGGGAAACUUACGCUAAUACCGCAUACGACCUACGGGUGAAAGCAGGGGAUCUUCGGACCUUGCGCGAUUGAAUGAGCCGAUGUCGGAUUAGCUAGUUGGCGGGGUAAAGGCCCACCAAGGCGACGAUCCGUAGCUGGUCUGAGAGGAUGAUCAGCCACACUGGAACUGAGACACGGUCCAGACUCCUACGGGAGGCAGCAGUGGGGAAUAUUGGACAAUGGGCGCAAGCCUGAUCCAGCCAUACCGCGUGGGUGAAGAAGGCCUUCGGGUUGUAAAGCCCUUUUGUUGGGAAAGAAAAGCAGCAGGUUAAUACCCCGCUGUUCUGACGGUACCCAAAGAAUAAGCACCGGCUAACUUCGUG